GUUCUAAUAACUUAACUAGAGAAGGAUAAAGCAAAGGAAAACUAUAGACCGAUAUCAGUAUAUUAGUUCAAAAUUUAAAAUAAAUGUCAAAUGGACUUCUAGCAAUUCCACUAAGAAAUUUUUCAUGUUGAUGAAGUUGUAUUUACGCAGCCAUGCAAGGAUAAAGGUCAACAUUAGGACAGCAAUCAACGUCAUUAUUUGAAAGACAAGACACCUGAAAUGACGUGAUUAUCGGAAUAGAUGGCAACAAGCACUCCUUACGACUAUUUUUAAAGCCCGACACAGUUUAUAGCUCGUUCUUUUCUUACUAUCAUAAAAUUAUUUUCUAAAACCCAAAUCAAGCAUCGCCCCAAUGAAAAUGUACCAGUUUUCCUCAUAAAUAAUUACAUGAAUAGUGUAAUGGUAAGACCAAAAGGAGACUUGAGUACAGCCCGGCAUGGCCGCAUUCUCCCCACACCGGUUGGCUUUAGUUCUGGUCAUGUUGGUGUGUGGGAUGAGAGUCGGUGGGCACUUCUCGGAGUGGCCUUCGGUCUGUGGCCCCGACUUUCCAGACCCCCCAGUCUUCCUUAGACUGGGGAGCUGCCCCCGCACCCAGGACAUUUGGAGCCUGAGAAGAGCUUAUCUACCGCUUGGGAAAUUGGCCAACGCCAGGAGAGGACUAAGAGAGCACAGGGAGUUUCCAAAGCAUCUUUCUUGUCGGGGCUGAGAACCCUUGGAGUGUCACAGGUUUUCUGAUCUUGGAGGUCUGAUGUUGGAGGUUGUCUGUCAGGAGUACGGAGGUUGAAAACCAGGCGCUCAAGACUCAGAACGUCACAGCCCCCCCUCUGUGGGACUGGCCAGAGGGAAGGGGGACAAUCUGGCAUCAGGAUCCUUAUAAACAUUCGUGAUUGUUUGUAGAAUGAUAGAGGACAUGUUUGCUCUGAACAAGCAGUUAGGGUGGGCAGAAUGCCUUUCCCCCCCUUUCUCCUCCCCUUCGGACACCCCCCCACUGUUUUCUCCAAAUAAAGUUGCUUUUCUCUGCCAGAAUCUUAUCAAAUGCCCUGUCUGCUCAUCAGAGGGAUUUCUGGGGGAUGAGCACACACACACACACACACACACACACACACACACACACACACACACACAGUCUUUUCGUAAACACUUCGGACCCCCUUUUCUAGAUUUCUGGCCCCAGACACCUCCCCUUCCCCCCCAAAUCCAAAACAAAAACCCUUUGGGGAGGAGCCCCGACUCGGUACUCGGCUGUUUCCAUGGGCAUUUUCAUGCUGAUGAUUCCCUCGCGUUGCCCAUCUCCCUCUCCUUCCCUCCCACCCCAACCCAAAGGCCGGGGUCCACCUGUAUGGGGUGGCUUCCGGCCCUCCCCUAG
This 1366-nucleotide long non-coding RNA is filed under the name Monodelphis domestica (gray short-tailed opossum). RNAcentral's name for it is "lncRNA (ENSMODG00000038523.1)". Lineage: Eukaryota; Metazoa; Chordata; Mammalia; Didelphimorphia; Didelphidae. The record is from RNAcentral.